This 446-nucleotide ribosomal RNA is filed under the name uncultured organism. RNAcentral describes it as "partial 16S ribosomal RNA". It matches the Rfam family "Bacterial small subunit ribosomal RNA", at positions 334 to 797 of the family's 1533-position model. The record is from RNAcentral.
CACUCCUACGGGAGGCAGCAGUGGGGAAUAUUGGACAAUGGGCGCAAGCCUGAUCCAGCCAUGCCGCGUGAGUGAUGAAGGCCCUAGGGUUGUAAAGCUCUUUCACCGGUGAAGAUAAUGACGGUAACCGGAGAAGAAGCCCCGGCUAACUUCGUGCCAGCAGCCGCGGUAAUACGAAGGGGGCUAGCGUUGUUCGGAUUUACUGGGCGUAAAGCGCACGUAGGCGGACUAUUAAGUCAGGGGUGAAAUCCCGGGGCUCAACCCCGGAACUGCCUUUGAUACUGGUAGUCUUGAGUGCGAGAGAGGUGAGUGGAAUUCCGAGUGUAGAGGUGAAAUUCGUAGAUAUUCGGAGGAACACCAGUGGCGAAGGCGGCUCACUGGCUCGAUACUGACGCUGAGGUGCGAAAGCGUGGGGAGCAAACAGGAUUAGAAACCCGUGUAGUCCC